This 787-nucleotide ribosomal RNA is filed under the name uncultured bacterium. RNAcentral describes it as "bacterial SSU rRNA". It matches the Rfam family "Bacterial small subunit ribosomal RNA", at positions 8 to 796 of the family's 1533-position model. The record is from RNAcentral.
AGAGUUUGAUCAUGGCUCAGAUUGAACGCUGGCGGCAGGCCUAACACAUGCAAGUCGAGCGUGAAAGCCUUCGGGUGAGUAGAGCGGCGGACGGGUGAGUAACGCGUGGGAAUCUACCGAGUAGUGGGGGACAACCAGUGGAAACGCUGGCUAAUACCGCAUACGCCCUACGGGGGAAAGAGGGGGACUUUUAGCCUCUUGCUAUUCGAUGAGCCCGCGUAAGAUUAGCUAGAUGGUGGGGUAAUGGCCUACCAUGGCGACGAUCUUUAGCUGGUCUGAGAGGAUGAUCAGCCACACUGGGACUGAGACACGGCCCAGACUCCUACGGGAGGCAGCAGUGGGGAAUAUUGCACAAUGGGGGAAACCCUGAUGCAGCCAUGCCGCGUGUGUGAAGAAGGCCCUAGGGUUGUAAAGCACUUUCAACAGUGAGGAAAGGGUAGUAGUUAAUACCUGCUAUCUGUGACGUUAACUGUAGAAGAAGCACCGGCUAACUCCGUGCCAGCAGCCGCGGUAAUACGGAGGGUGCGAGCGUUAAUCGGAAUUACUGGGCGUAAAGCGCGCGUAGGCGGUUGUCUAAGCUAGAUGUGAAAGCCCCGGGCUUAACCUGGGAACUGCAUUUAGAACUGGGCGACUAGAGUACAGCAGAGGAGUGUGGAAUUUCAGGUGUAGCGGUGAAAUGCGUAGAGAUCUGAAGGAACAUCAGUGGCGAAGGCGACACUCUGGGUUGAUACUGACGCUGAGGUGCGAAAGCGUGGGGAGCAAACAGAAUUAGAUACCCUAGUAGUCC